CGUAGGAAGCAAGCGUUAUCCGGAUUUACUGGGCGUAAAGGGCAGGCAGGCGGUUGGUUAAGUUGGACUUGAAAGCUCCCGGCUCAACUGGGAGAGGUGGUUCAAAACUGGCCAACUAGAGGAUGGUAGAGGAGAGUGGAAUUCCCGGUGUAGUGGUGAAAUGCGUAGAUAUCGGGAGGAACACCAGUGGCGAAAGCGGCUCUCUGGGCCACACCUGACGCUCAACUGCGAAAGCCAGGGGAGAGAACGGGAUUAGAAACCCCGGUAUUCCUGGCCGUAAACGAUGUUAACUAGGCGUCGGCGGUGUCAAAGCCGCCGGUGCUGCAGCCAACGCGAUAAGUUAACCGCCUGGGGACUACGGCCGCAAGGCUA
Molecule: ribosomal RNA, 372 nt
Filed under: uncultured organism
Description: bacterial SSU rRNA
Rfam family: Bacterial small subunit ribosomal RNA
Source: RNAcentral